GUGCUUAAAGCAGGCUCUUAAAUCAGCCUGAAUAGUGGUGCAUGGAAUAAUGGAACAGGACCUUGGUUCUAUUUUGUUGGUUUUCGGAAUCCAAGGUAAUGAUCAAUAAGGACAGGCGGGGGCAUUCGUAUUGCGGCGUUAGAGGUGAAAUUCUUGGAUCGUCGCAAGACGCACUAGAGCGAAAGCAUUUGCCAAGUAUGUCUUAAUUGAUCAAGAACGAAAGUUAGAGGUUCGAAGGCGAUCAGAUACCGCCCUAGUUCUAACCAUAAACGAUGCCAGCCAGCGAUCCGCCGAUGUUCCUCCGAUGACUCGGCGGGGAGCUUUCCCCGGGAAACCAAAGCUUUUGGGUUCCGGGGGAAGUAUGGUUGCAAAGCUGAAACUUAAAGGAAUUGACGGAAGGGCACCACCAGGAGUGGAGCCUGCGGCUUAAUUUGACUCAACACGGGAAACCUCACCAGGCCCGGACAUUGGAAGGAUUGACAGAUCGAUAGCUCUUUCUCGAUUCAGUGGGUAGUGGUGCAUGGCCGUUCUUAGUUGGUGGACUGAUUUGUCUGGUUAAUUCCGAUAACGAACGAGACUCUAACCUAUUAACUAGGCGUUUCC
This 603-nucleotide ribosomal RNA is filed under the name Leptocoris sp. CMF 0673. RNAcentral's name for it is "SSU rRNA". It matches the Rfam family "Eukaryotic small subunit ribosomal RNA", at positions 771 to 1366 of the family's 1831-position model. Lineage: Eukaryota; Metazoa; Arthropoda; Insecta; Hemiptera; Rhopalidae. The record is from RNAcentral.